RNAcentral lists this transfer RNA (71 nucleotides) under Loxodonta africana (African savanna elephant). It matches the Rfam family "tRNA". From Rfam's summary of the family: Transfer RNA (tRNA) molecules are approximately 80 nucleotides in length. Their secondary structure includes four short double-helical elements and three loops (D, anti-codon, and T loops). Further hydrogen bonds mediate the characteristic L-shaped molecular structure. tRNAs have two regions of fundamental functional importance: the anti-codon, which is responsible for specific mRNA codon recognition, and the 3' end, to which the tRNAs corresponding amino acid is attached (by aminoacyl-tRNA synthetases). tRNAs cope with the degeneracy of the genetic code in two manners: having more than one tRNA (with a specific anti-codon) for a particular amino acid; and 'wobble' base-pairing, i.e. permitting non-standard base-pairing at the 3rd anti-codon position. The record is from Rfam by way of RNAcentral. Lineage: Eukaryota; Metazoa; Chordata; Mammalia; Proboscidea; Elephantidae.
ACAGUGGUGGUUCAGUGGUAGAACUCUCGCCUUGCAUGUGGGAAACUUGGGUUCAAUUCCCAGCCAAUGUG